Molecule: ribosomal RNA, 492 nt
Filed under: uncultured bacterium
Lineage: Bacteria
Description: partial 16S ribosomal RNA
Rfam family: Bacterial small subunit ribosomal RNA
Source: RNAcentral
AGUGAACGCUGGCGGUAGGCCUAACACAUGCAAGUCGAACGGCAGCACAGUAAGAGCUUGCUCUUACGGGUGGCGAGUGGCGGACGGGUGAGGAAUACAUCGGAAUCUACUUUUUCGUGGGGGAUAACGUAGGGAAACUUACGCUAAUACCGCAUACGACCUACGGGUGAAAGCAGGGGAUCUUCGGACCUUUCGCGAUUGAAUGAGCCGAUGUCGGAUUAGCUAGUUGGCGGGGUAAAGGCCCACCAAGGCGACGAUCCGUAGCUGGUCUGAGAGGAUGAUCAGCCACACUGGAACUGAGACACGGUCCAGACUCCUACGGGAGGCAGCAGUGGGGAAUAUUGGACAAUGGGCGCAAGCCUUAUCCAGCCAUACCGCGUGGGUGAAGAAGGCCUUCGGGUUGUAAAGCCCUUUUGUUGGGAAAGAAAAGCAGCAGGUUAAUACCCCGCUGUUCUGACGGUACCCAAAGAAUAAGCACCGGCUAACUUCGUG